RNAcentral lists this microRNA precursor (80 nucleotides) under Schistosoma mansoni. Its description in RNAcentral is "mir-3492 microRNA precursor family". It matches the Rfam family "mir-3492 microRNA precursor family". Lineage: Eukaryota; Metazoa; Platyhelminthes; Trematoda; Strigeidida; Schistosomatidae. The record is from Rfam by way of RNAcentral.
AGCUUUCUAAAUCUAUGCUGAGAUUUCGUUAGGCAUCAGACCAACAGAGAUGAUAAAACUUUCAAAUGGUUGAUGAAGUC